Molecule: ribosomal RNA, 337 nt
Filed under: uncultured Pseudomonadota bacterium
Lineage: Bacteria; Pseudomonadati; Pseudomonadota
Description: bacterial SSU rRNA
Rfam family: Bacterial small subunit ribosomal RNA
Source: RNAcentral
AUUGAACGCUGGCGGCAUGCCUAACACAUGCAAGUCGCACGCGAAAGGGGGCAACCCCGAGUAGAGUGGCGCACGGGUGAGUAACGCGUGGGUAAUCUGCCUUCGAAUUGGGGAUAACGUUGCGAAAGCGACGCUAAUACCGAAUAACAUCCAUGGGUCUUCGGAUCUUUGGAUCAAGGGUGGCCUCUACAUGUAAGCUACUGUUUGAAGAUGAGCCCGCGUACCAUUAGCUUGUUGGUGGGGUAAUGGCCUACCAAGGCGACGAUGGUUAGCUGGUCUGAGAGGAUGAUCAGCCACACUGGAACUGACACACGGUCCAGACUCCUACGGGUGGCAG